UGAUGGAUUUUAGAUGAAAAAACUGUGA
Molecule: non-coding RNA, 28 nt
Filed under: Mus musculus (house mouse)
Lineage: Eukaryota; Metazoa; Chordata; Mammalia; Rodentia; Muridae
Source: RNAcentral